Molecule: unclassified non-coding RNA, 22 nt
Filed under: Mus musculus (house mouse)
Lineage: Eukaryota; Metazoa; Chordata; Mammalia; Rodentia; Muridae
Description: oocyte_clustered_small_RNA9863
Source: RNAcentral
AGCCGAGCUGAGCAGGACCAGC